This 433-nucleotide ribosomal RNA is filed under the name uncultured bacterium. RNAcentral describes it as "bacterial SSU rRNA". It matches the Rfam family "Bacterial small subunit ribosomal RNA", at positions 958 to 1392 of the family's 1533-position model. The record is from RNAcentral.
AACGCGAAGAACCUUACCUACCCUUGACAUGUCAGGAAUCCCGAAGAGAUUUGGGAGUGCCGCAAGGAACCUGAACACAGGUGCUGCAUGGCUGUCGUCAGCUCGUGUCGUGAGAUGUUGGGUUAAGUCCCGCAACGAGCGCAACCCUUGUCAUUAGUUGCCAUCAUUUAGUUGGGCACUCUAAUGAGACUGCCGGUGACAAACCGGAGGAAGGUGGGGAUGACGUCAAGUCCUCAUGGCCCUUAUGGGUAGGGCUUCACACGUCAUACAAUGGUCGGUACAGAGGGUUGCCAACCCGCGAGGGGGAGCCAAUCCCAGAAAGCCGAUCGUAGUCCGGAUCGUAGUCUGCAACUCGACUACGUGAAGUCGGAAUCGCUAGUAAUCGCGGAUCAGAAUGCCGCGGUGAAUACGUUCCCGGGUCUUGUACACACCG